Triticum dicoccoides is the source of this 2672-nucleotide long non-coding RNA. RefSeq lists it as uncharacterized. The record is from RefSeq and is a predicted model, not a curated record. The transcript is spliced from 8 exons. NCBI's taxonomy places the organism in Eukaryota, Viridiplantae, Streptophyta, Magnoliopsida, Poales, Poaceae.
CAUUCGUCCUUUCUCUCUGGAUCCCCUCUUCUCUCCCACGAUCCUCUCUCUCUUCCCCAACUGCCGCCGCCACCAUCGUCGCCUGGUACCGGCCAGUUCCGGCGAAGUCCGUCACCAUCCAGCACAUCCACGAGGUCAUCUUGUGACGCUGCUCCUUCUCCACCACGUUGAUCCAUCGCGCCGCUCCUCUACGAGCGGCCCCGGCUAACCCUAGCACCGCGGUCAUCGGUGCACUACACGGCGUCGCCAUGGACGCCGGCGCUGCGCCUGCGGCUCCGAUCGGUCCUCGCCGACACCGCCUAAGUCCUCCCGCACUGCAUCGCCUCCUGGUCGUUGUUCCAGGCGCCUCCAUCGACUGGAGGAACGAUCGGCCCUCGUCCUUGUGCCAGUGCGCGUCCGUGAAGGAAACAAACCGUGAUGUGCCGCCUCAGAUCAACUGUGUGAAGGCAGCGGGGGAUGGAUCACAAGGGGAGAGGUGCAGUCCUCCAGAGCUGUUGGAUCCCAAAAUUGGAAGAUGAUGGCGAUAUGUUGCGAGGAUGAGUGCUUCUCCAUUUUCUGUUCUGUAUGUGGUGGUCGACGUUUGUACCUCGCUCGGGCUAAUUUCUUUGGUGCACGGGCUUUCAGAUCUAAGGUUCACUGGCACACAAGAGUCACUUGGUUGUUUGAUGCAUUCGUGCUCGUCGGCGGGACGGUGCAAGGCGCAACUCCGAUGCGGUUCCUCACCGGUUGGACGGCGUUCAGGCGCAACCCCGGUGCUCACUGAGUACUGCCUCGGCUACAACCUCCCACGGUGAGGCGAGGAUUGUGCUCGGAGAGGACCCACACGACGCUCCGCUUGCCGUCGUGGUGCACCCCUUUUGAAAUUUCCCGAGAUAGCUGAUUGGUGCUACAUGAUACAGUGGUGUUCUCCAACAUCUUCCAUGUCCAUAAACUAUGGUUUAUUUGUUGGUCUAAUUAUCUCUUGCUUAUCAGUACGGAGACUACAAUUUGUUCAGUCGUAAAUAAGAUGUCUAACUCCAAGUUGAAGUAUUAUCAGACUUUAUUUUUUGUAGUGUUUGAUAAACCGGUGGUUUAUAGUACCAUGGGAAUUUGUCUCAUACGUAGUAUGUGGUUCCUUAUAAAAAUAUGCCAAUCGUGUUGAAACAAGUAAUUUAUCUAGCUACACAUGCCCUUUCUGAUGCAUUGCGGGUUUGCUAUCAAACUCUCAAAAAGAAAGAACAACUUUAUUUUGUUUUGUUGGGAAACCUUUCUGUAGUCACUACCUUGACAGAGACAACUAUGUAACCGAGGAUAUAUUUGGUGGGUUUUCAGGCAAAGCUUAGCGGAUAUUUUUAUAGGUUCAGCGCUUGCUUUAUGCUUUGAUAACUUUAAAUUCCUUUUGUUCUUUGGAUUAUCAUAGCAUACUCGUCUCUUCUAAUCCUAGCAAGGGCAUUCUUCAUGUUUACAGAUAGUUUGGCGCUCUCAUGGUUCUUUUCGAGAGAUUGUUCUUCCGAGCAUUAUUUGGUAACCAUCUACUGUAGAUCAUCUACUGCCCUUAUGACCUGAGCCCGCAGGAAUCGAUGCUGCUGCGUGACGUGGAGCCCAUGCCCGACCCCGACGACGGCGGUCGACCACAACCUCCCUCUCCGGAGAAGCUCAGGCUGCCACCACACAAAGGGAGAGGAGCCCAAGAUGAAUCUAUCCCGCCUUACUGUCAAUGACCCAACGACAGAGACAGCUACUUCGGGCCUAGGUGAGUAGCCGCCAGCCCUGCAUUUCGAGCCUAGGUAACCAAGUUUGUGUCUACUUCUAUGAUUAGUUGCUUAUGCUUCAUGGUCUUUGUGAAACACAACAUGAUGCCUUGUUGGUUCCUGGGCAAGGCCUUUUGGGACCGAUCUCUCUAGCGUUAAAGAAAGCAAGAUUGAUGCUCUGUUUUCUCUAUUUUUGUUGGGUUGGAACAGAGUGGGUUACCGAUCCCAUAUGCCAGUAUAUAGGAAGAACAAAAAAACUUAGGUGAUUUACCUUUUAACCUAAAUUUAUAUAGGAAACUUAUACUAACCUUUAUCUCAGUUAGUUGCACCAGUUUGCAUGUAUUUCAGUUGUGGCUCCUUUAUUCUAAGUUAGCUGCAUCAUCUUGCAGUUAUUAGUGUUCUUCCAUGCCUACUUACAUGAGUGUGUCACUUAUAUUGUUCAUGGUGUAUGCCACCUGAUCAUUGUACAACCAUUGUUGCCUAUCAAUAAAUUUUGGGGUAAUGGAGACAUUGAUCGUCUUUCUCGGACAAUAUAUGGUUUGACUUCUUGUUGUUACAUUUUUGUUUGCGUCAGAAUUAUAACAUGUAUUUGGUUAUUGCAACAGGUAGCUUAUUUACCCCCUAAUCCCCUUUACUUUUGUUUGAUACUGUGUACAUAUCAAUGUUUAGUCGCUUGAAUUCAGAACAAAGAUAUGGUACACCGGACACGAAAGAAAGCAGUAGAUAGAUAUACAGAUUCAGAUGAUAUAGUUUCUGUAGAUGCGAAGCACGGAAGUUCUAGGUAAAAGUGAAUCUGUUAGGGGGGAAAACGAAGGCUUGUGUGCCUAUUAGUUAUUUUUUUUGUUUUAUCAUUGUCGGCACCUUAUCUAUCUGUAACAUGUGUGACCUGUGCAACUGCAAAAGUAUUGGGCAAUAAAAAUUCUGUGUAACACAUGUUUUGUA